Molecule: ribosomal RNA, 424 nt
Filed under: uncultured prokaryote
Description: bacterial SSU rRNA
Rfam family: Bacterial small subunit ribosomal RNA
Source: RNAcentral
UGGGGAAUCUUGCGCAAUGAGGGCAACCUUGACGCAGCCAUGCCGCGUGUGUGAUGAAGGCUCUAGGGCUGUAAAGCACUUUCAGUAGGGAAGAUAAUGACGGUACCUACAGAAGAAGUCCCGGCUAACUCCGUGCCAGCAGCCGCGGUAAUACGGAGGGGGCGAACGUUGCUCGGAUUUACUGGGCGUAAAGCGACCGCAGGCGGUUUGUUUAGUCAGAUGUGAAAUCCCGGUGCUUAACGCCGGAACUGCAUUUGAAACUGGCAAGCUAGAGUCAUCAAGAGGAGAUCGGAAUUACCAGUGUAGAGGUGAAAUUCGUAGAUAUUGGUAGGAACACCAGUGGCGAAGGCGGAUCUCUGGGGAUGUACUGACGCUCAGGGUCGAAAGCAUGGGGAGCAAACAGGAUUAGAUACCCCCGUAGUCC